Molecule: long non-coding RNA, 294 nt
Organism: Aricia agestis (brown argus)
Lineage: Eukaryota; Metazoa; Arthropoda; Insecta; Lepidoptera; Lycaenidae
Exons: 2
Source: RefSeq, a predicted model, not a curated record
AUCACAAUAUUUUUAACCAACUUAAAAAGGAGGUUAUUGAAAUACCAUUGUAUAAUAAAGAAGUUAAUUAAGCAUCUCAUUGUAGGGAAGCCCUACAGAAGUAGGUGUUACGUUAAUUUCUGCCUCUUGUACCAGCCAAAAUUAGACUGAAUUGCUAAAGAUAUUGCAAUUUUUUAAGGUAAAAUGUAACAUCACAGAUUUUUGUAAGUAUAGUUUUUUGCUGUAAAGUUUAUUUGGUAGACUGUUCUUUGAUGUGAUAUUAAUUUGAUUAUUUAAAUAAAAAUGUGUAUUGUA